Alligator mississippiensis (American alligator) is the source of this 4604-nucleotide long non-coding RNA. RefSeq lists it as uncharacterized. Lineage: Eukaryota; Metazoa; Chordata; Crocodylia; Alligatoridae. The transcript has 3 exons. The record is from RefSeq and is a predicted model, not a curated record.
CUUUGGAAUUUUCCCAGGCCCUCAUGCAAGCACAGCCUGAGUAUAAAGGCGCACCCCGACAAAUUUUGCCAGGCCCCCUUCACAAAUCACUUGUGCUGUUGACUGCUUCACCAUGUCUCAGAAAACCAAGGCCAGCAGUAUGGAGUCGACAGCCCAGGAGGCAGAUACCUUCAGUGACCAUGGAUCCAACUGGACACGGGAAGAACUGGAGGACCUAAUUGACGUUUGGUUGGAGUGAAGGAUCAUAGAUGAAAUUUAAAGUAGGAGAAAUGAGCCUGUUUAUGUCAAGAUUGAAAAAGGCAAUCAUGACUGGACCCAGGUCUGGUGCAAGAUCAAGCCCCUGAGAUCAGCAUUUUACAGAACCAAAGAUGUGAAAUCUCAUUCUGGGGCAGGUUGCACAAUUGCUCCCUUCUAUGACAAGCUGUACAUCAUUCUCUCCAAGGAUGUAGGUGACAACCCAGGCACAGAGACUUUCAGCACCAGGGUUGGGCAGAAGGAGGCGGCAGCAGCCUCUCCUGAGAGUGAAACUAUGAGCAGCAUGUCUCAGCUGUACAGGGACCGCUCCUUGCUCCCUGAUGACCAUUAGUGGCAGGAAGAUCUUUUGGUCACCAUACACUUAGUGCCACUUAGUCCUGUUCCACGGACUAGCACAGAUAAUGAAGCAGAGGAGGUGGAGGGUCAUGAAGAAAUCCAUGUGGCCGAAACAUCAUCUAUUGUUACCGAGACCCAAGAACAUGCUGGACCUUCUAGCAUUGGCAGUGGCAGCUGUGGACCUGUUUCUGAAGCGAGUACUUCCACCGUGACCCAUGGCCGCCUGGAAUGGUGCCCUGCUUGCACUACAGCAGAGCACCGCAGAGAUUUUCGCAGAGAGGCGGUCCUGCGAAAUCUCACUCAAGGUUUUGGCAGAGUCCUCAGUAACCAGAGUGCAAUGCACAGAUGCCUGGUGGGACAAAUUCCGUGAGUUGCUGCAUAAGAAUGAUGCCAUCCACGAGGAAGUGCAAGACACUAUGUGGAAUUUCAAAGACAUGGUCUAAAGGCCCUGGGAAGUCCAUGCAUGGAGAAGUUUUGCAGAUUGCCUGCUUGCUGCUGGGGUGGGUGGGGUUGUUGUUUAGUCUUUUUUUCUUAGAAGAAAUGCUGAUUACACCCUAGCUAGCACUUAAAAAGCAUUUGACCUCCCUCCGACCCACCCUGCAACUGUUUGCAACUCUUUCCAGUAAUGCCAUGACUCCAUAAACCCCCUCCAAGCACAGCAUCCCCACGCUGAAGCGGGUGUGGUCUCUGAAAACCAGCCCAACCACCCACCCACCCACCUCAAAUAAAACAUGACACAUAUAUAGAGCAAAAAUAAAACAUUUUAUUGAAAACGCUACAGCUUAACAAUAUAAAAUAUGUACACAACGUAAAAAAUAUAAAAAACCCUGCAAAUCUGAGCAUGUUUCACUCUCCUCUACACUCUCUUCAUUCAGUACUGGGCUGGUUGCCGCCCCCGGCGAGUUCCACUGAUGAAAGUUUUCUGCAAGGAGGGGGAAAAAGGAGGAAGAGGAGGGGGGGUUUGGAGCAUAGUCGAAAAACCGGACUUUUGCACACCCCCCCCAGUCAGUGGGACAUAUGACCUCAAUAUCAUCCAGGACACUGCAUAUCCUGGGUGCUGGGUCUGGCAGGCAGCGUCCUGCCUCUGGACUUCUUUUGUCAUGCUUCUGAAUUGGAAUGUGAUGAAGUUCAAAAGGUUUGCAAUACUGAAGGAAGUCAUGUAACCACUCACUCCAAAGUUUCAAACUACUUGCAAAAAACUUACCAUUAUGAGGAUGCUGCAUCUGUCAUUGGGAGCUAUGUCCACUGCAGUGGCAGCACAUGACGGAGGGUGCAGGGGGUAUGAGGACAGGCAGAAUGCACCCGAGAGUCUUGAAGGAGGUGGCAGACAUCGUUGCACCCCCCUUGGCAAAGAUAUUUAAAAAUUCAUGGCGCUUAUGUACCCUUUGCACCCCCUACGCAUCACCACUGGCUGAGGUCCUGGAAGCCUAGAAAGGAUCCAUCAACACCAGACUAAUGGAAGGUGAGCUUCUGAAGGUCAGCCAACAUGACUUUGUGACUGGCAGGUCUUGCCUGACCAACCUUAUCUCCUUUUAUGACCAGGUGACACGAGCCCUGGACAAAGGAGAUGAUGUGGAUGUCAUAUAUCUGGAUUUCAAAAAAGCCUUUGACCUAAUUCCCCAUGAUGUCCUCAUGGCUAAGCUGGGGAAUUGUGGCUUAAUCAUUUUACAGUCUGAUGGCUAGGCAACUGGUUAUGGGUUCAGACCCAAAAAGUACUAGUUGAUGGGAGCAAAUCAACGUGGCACAGGGUGACUCAGGGCUCGGUACAACGUGGUACUCACAACGUGACUCAGGACUCAGUACUUGGGCUGGUACUCUUUAACAUCUUCGUUAACAAUCUGGAGUCGGGAGUCAGAUGUGAACUGGCAAAGUUUGCGGAUGACACCAAAUUAUGGGGGAGGGCAUUCACACUGCAGGACAGGCUGGGGAUACAGGUUGACUUGGACAUGCUCUCAAGAUGGGCUGACCAAAACCUGAUGGCCUUCAAAGUUGAGAAGUAUAAGGUGCUGCACCUCAGUAGGAAGAACUCUCAACACGCUUACAAACUUGGCAGUGCUAUGCUUGCUAGUACCACAACCAUAAGAGACUUGUGGGUCCUGAUUGACCACAAGAUGAAUAUGAGUCACCAAUGCGAUGCUGUGGCUGGCAAAGCAAACCAAACUGGUGUGCAUCUACCGAUGCAUCUCAAGCAAAACCAGGGAUGUCAUCCUCCCACUUUACUCGGCCUUGGUGAGGCUGCAGCUGGAGUACUGUGCCUAGUUUUGGGCCCCCCACUUCAGGAGGGAUAUGGAAAAGCUUGAGAGAAUCCAGAGGAGAGCCACUCAUAUGAUUCAAGGCCUGGAGGGCAGGCUGUACGAGGAGAGGCUGAGGGAUUUGGGACUCUUCAGUCUGGAAAAGAGAAGGCUCAGGAAGGACUUGGUAGCAGCCUACAAUUAUAUAAAAAGGGUACAUUAGGACCUGGGAGAACAGCUGUUCACCAGAACUCCCCAAGGGAUAUCAAGGUCCAAUGGUCAUAAACUCUAGGAAGGCUGAUUUAGACUAGCCAUGAGAAAAAAGUUCUUUAAGGUGCAAGUGUCCAGGGUCUGGAACAGACUUCCCCCAGAGAUGGUGCAAGCACCUACUCUGGAUUCUUUCAAAAAAUAUCUGGAUAUUUUUCUUGGUGGGAUCACUUGAUCCCAGCUGACUUCCUGCCUGGGGGUGGGCUGGACUCGAUGAUCGCACAAGGUCCCUUCCAGCCCCUAAUGUCUAUAAAUCUAUGAAUUUCUGAAUCUAUGACAGGAGGGUACAUGGGCGGAGGCUGGAGGACAUACAUUAUAGGUGGUGGUGGGGGGCAGAAGAAUUAAGAGAGGGUAGAAAAUUAAGGGAUUAUUGGCCUCCUCCAUUUUAAAAUAAUAAUAUUUUUUUUUGAGCGGACCCGUCCCGACCUGAACCUAUGGCCACUUCACUGAGUGCUUUAAGGGAGGAGGAAGGGGUGAGGAGGGUAAAAAAGAACACACAGUGGCACCUACUGGCUAGAGGCCGGAACACAGCACCCCCUCAUGGCAGAGGGGAUUAAUUGGAAGUCUUUGGAAUCUGGCUGUUUGCACGAACAAAUCCGCAGUUGGAACGGUGUAACUGGAGACCUCCACAAAUUAACACAUUUCUGAGUAGUGUUAGUUUGAGGCACUAAAUGGACUUUAGAGUGGCAGGAAAUCCUGGGUCAUGCAAACACAAAUGCAGUUGCGUUGGCGUAAAUGGGAAAUAUUGUUUCAUCUACGCACACCCCCCAGCCACCUUGGGAGAUCUCUAUAGUAUUGACUGAAGUAUAAACAUACCCUUAGUCAAUCAAGCAAACACAAGAACUUGCUUCUUGCUGGUCCAGGGGGAGCCUGAGUUUGGGCUCCCUCUGCACUGGCAAUAAGGCAUGAUGGGAUCUAAUGUGUGAUGCCACAACUGUGCUUCCUGCCAUGCAUGUGUGGCAUGGCAGGUGGUACGAUUGUGUGACUCGCACUUUAGAUCCCAUUGUGCCUUUACCUGCAUGUGUAGAGAGGGCCUAAGAUGAAAGAUGCCUCUGUGGAAUCAGAAAAAAUAUAUGCCUUAAACUUUGAUUAUUUUAGUUAUAAGAUGACAUAACUGCUUUGUGGAGAAUUGCUGGCUCUGUACAGUAGAACAGAUAAGGGCCAGUGUUUGUUCUUUGUAACUCCUCUGCAACUGCUUCGCUCACCGCGGCCUUGAAGGUAGCAAAAAGUAUGUACAAAGUAGAUUUCCAGGUGCAAGAAGGAGGUUUGUGAACUAACCUCGCCUCCCCCAUUAGUUCCCAUCCUAAUUACAGCAAAGAAAUAAUGAAGUAAUAUUAUAGCCGCUUUUCAUGCUAAUUUCACUAUAUGAUCACGUGAGUUGUAAGCGACUGUUAAAAAGUAUAUAAGCCUCCUGAUUUUGCUCUGGGGGGGGGACCCCUUCCAAGUGCUUGGGAAAUCCAUGUCACUUUGGAACUCCCCCUACAGCUGUAGUUUCUUUUAAAUAAAAGCUUCUGC